Molecule: transfer RNA, 74 nt
Filed under: Lachnospiraceae bacterium
Lineage: Bacteria; Bacillati; Bacillota; Clostridia; Lachnospirales; Lachnospiraceae
Description: tRNA-Leu
Rfam family: tRNA
About the family: Transfer RNA (tRNA) molecules are approximately 80 nucleotides in length.
Source: RNAcentral
GCAGGUGUACCCCAACCGGAAGAGGGAAUUGUUUCAAAAACAAAAAAGUAUGAGUUCAAAUCUCAUCACCUGUA